AUUCUAUGAUGAGGUCACUUCCAUAAUAAUUAUUUGUACCUUUCCCAUGCCUCAUACAAGGACUCUUCAUCCAUUUGUUAGAAGGUAGUAAUUUCAUUCCACUACU
This 106-nucleotide small nucleolar RNA is filed under the name Gossypium hirsutum (cotton). RNAcentral's name for it is "Plant small nucleolar RNA R71". It matches the Rfam family "Plant small nucleolar RNA R71". Rfam says of the family: R71 is a member of the C/D box family of snoRNAs containing the C (UGAUGA) and D (CUGA) box motifs. Multiple nearly identical copies of this snoRNA have been identified in Arabidopsis, and it is thought to function as a 2'-O-ribose methylation guide for 18S ribosomal RNA. The record is from Rfam by way of RNAcentral. RNAcentral also lists the same sequence under 2 other names. Lineage: Eukaryota; Viridiplantae; Streptophyta; Magnoliopsida; Malvales; Malvaceae.